UCGGGGGAAGGCUUCCAGCUCGACCCCCGGGCUCUCCGGGGCAGGCUUCCAGAUCGUCCCCCGGGCUCUCCGGGGAAGGCUUCCAUCUCGUCCCCCUGGCUCUCCGGGGAAGGCUUCCAGGUGCUCCCCCGGGCUCUCCGGGGAAGGCUUCCAGGCUCUCCCCCGGGCUCUCCGGGGAAGGCUACCAGGUCGUCCCCCGGGCUCUCCGGGG
Long non-coding RNA from Gopherus flavomarginatus (Mexican gopher tortoise), 211 nucleotides. RefSeq lists it as uncharacterized. The transcript has 3 exons. Lineage: Eukaryota; Metazoa; Chordata; Testudines; Testudinidae. The record is from RefSeq and is a predicted model, not a curated record.